This 70-nucleotide transfer RNA is filed under the name Scriptaphyosemion cauveti (Kindia killi). RNAcentral's name for it is "tRNA-Pro". It matches the Rfam family "tRNA". Rfam says of the family: Transfer RNA (tRNA) molecules are approximately 80 nucleotides in length. Their secondary structure includes four short double-helical elements and three loops (D, anti-codon, and T loops). Lineage: Eukaryota; Metazoa; Chordata; Actinopteri; Cyprinodontiformes; Nothobranchiidae. The record is from RNAcentral.
CAGAAAAUAGUUUAGUUUAGAAUCCUGGCUUUGGGAGUCUGGGGUGGGGGUUAAAAUCCCCUUUUUCUGA